AGUCUCGUAGCUCAGCUGGUGAGGAGCGUGCGCGUACAAUCUUAGGCGGCGUCCAUGCGUGGGUUCGAAUCCCACCGAGGCUA
This 83-nucleotide transfer RNA is filed under the name Echinostoma caproni. It matches the Rfam family "tRNA". Rfam says of the family: Transfer RNA (tRNA) molecules are approximately 80 nucleotides in length. Their secondary structure includes four short double-helical elements and three loops (D, anti-codon, and T loops). Further hydrogen bonds mediate the characteristic L-shaped molecular structure. tRNAs have two regions of fundamental functional importance: the anti-codon, which is responsible for specific mRNA codon recognition, and the 3' end, to which the tRNAs corresponding amino acid is attached (by aminoacyl-tRNA synthetases). tRNAs cope with the degeneracy of the genetic code in two manners: having more than one tRNA (with a specific anti-codon) for a particular amino acid; and 'wobble' base-pairing, i.e. permitting non-standard base-pairing at the 3rd anti-codon position. Lineage: Eukaryota; Metazoa; Platyhelminthes; Trematoda; Plagiorchiida; Echinostomatidae. The record is from Rfam by way of RNAcentral.